GACGAACGCUGGCGGCGGGCUUAACACAUGCAAGUCGAACGGAAAGGCCCUGCUUUUGUGGGGUGCUCGAGUGGCGAACGGGAGAGUAACACGGGAGUAACCUGCCCUGGGGGUUGGGAUGACUUCAGGAAACUGGGGCUAAUACCGGAGAGGAGCUCCUGCUGCAGGGGGGGGGUUGGAAAGCUUGGGCGGUGGUGGAUGGAGUCGCGGCUUAUCAGCUUGUUGGUGGGGGAGUGGCUUACCAAGGCAUUGGCGGAUAGCCGGCCUGAGAGGGUAGACGGCGACCAUGGGACUGCGAUACGGACCAGACGCGUACGGGAGGCAGCAGUGGGGAAUAUUGCACAAUGGGCGGGCGUCUGAUGAAGAAACGCCGCGUGCGGGAUGAAGGCCUUCGGGGUGUAAACCGCUUUCGCCUGUGACGAAGCGUGAGUGACGGUAAUGGGUAAAGAAGCACCGGCUAACUACGUG
This 468-nucleotide ribosomal RNA is filed under the name uncultured bacterium. RNAcentral's name for it is "partial 16S ribosomal RNA". It matches the Rfam family "Bacterial small subunit ribosomal RNA", at positions 28 to 507 of the family's 1533-position model. The record is from RNAcentral.